UUCAGCAGCCAUAUCACCCUGCAGCCCAAGACUGGUUGCCCACUGAAGCUAAGCAUGAUUGAGCCUGGUCAGUACCUGGAUGGGAUACCUCCCGGGAAAACUAGGUUGCUGCUGGAA
RNAcentral lists this ribosomal RNA (117 nucleotides) under Sinocyclocheilus grahami. The record is from RNAcentral. Lineage: Eukaryota; Metazoa; Chordata; Actinopteri; Cypriniformes; Cyprinidae.